UGAACGCUGGCGGCAUGCUUUACACAUGCAAGUCGAACGGUAACAGGGAGCUUGCUCCGCUGACGAGUGGCGAACGGGUGAGUAAUAUAUCGGAACGUACCCAAGAGUGGGGGAUAACGUAGCGAAAGUUACGCUAAUACCGCAUACGAUCUAAGGAUGAAAGCAGGGGAUCGCAAGACCUUGUGCUCCUGGAGCGGCCGAUAUCUGAUUAGCUAGUUGGUAGGGUAAAGGCCUACCAAGGCAUCGAUCAGUAGCUGGUCUGAGAGGACGACCAGCCACACUGGAACUGAGACACGGUCCAGACUCCUACGGGAGGCAGCAGUGGGGAAUUUUGGACAAUGGGCGCAAGCCUGAUCCAGCCAUGCCGCGUGAGUGAUGAAGGCCCUAGGGUUGUAAAGCUCUUUUGUGCGGGAAGAUAAUGACGGUACCGCAAGAAUAAGCCCCGGCUAACUUCGUGCCAGCAGCCGCGGUAAUACGAAGGGGGCUAGCGUUGCUCGGAAUCACUGGGCGUAAAGGGUGCGUAGGCGGGUCUUUAAGUCAGAGGUGAAAUCCUGGAGCUCAACUCCAGAACUGCCUUUGAUACUGAGGGUCUUGAGUUCGGGAGAGGUGAGUGGAACUGCGAGUGUAGAGGUGAAAUUCGUAGAUAUUCGCAAGAACACCAGUGGCGAAGGCGGCUCACUGGCCCGAUACUGACGCUGAGGCACGAAAGCGUGGGG
Molecule: ribosomal RNA, 716 nt
Filed under: uncultured soil bacterium
Lineage: Bacteria
Description: bacterial SSU rRNA
Rfam family: Bacterial small subunit ribosomal RNA
Source: RNAcentral